GACGAACGCUGGCGGCGUGCUUAACACAUGCAAGUCGAACGGAAAGGCCCUGCUUUUGUGGGGUGCUCGAGUGGCGAACGGGUGAGUAACACGUGAGUAACCUGCCCUUGACUUUGGGAUAACUUCAGGAAACUGGGGCUAAUACCGGAUAGGAGCUCCUGCUGCAUGGUGGGGGAUGGAAAGUUUCGGCGGUUGGGGAUGGACUCGCGGCUUAUCAGCUUGUUGGUGGGGUAGUGGCUUACCAAGGCUUUGACGGGUAGCCGGCCUGAGAGGGUGACCGGCCACAUUGGGACUGAGAGACGGCCCAGACUCCUACGGGAGGCAGCAGUGGGGAAUAUUGCACAAUGGGCGGAAGCCUGAUGCAGCAACGCCGCGUGCGGGAUGACGGCCUUCGGGUUGUAAACCGCUUUCGCCUGUGACGAAGCGUGAGUGACGGUAAUGGGUAAAGAAGCACCGGCUAACUACGUG
Molecule: ribosomal RNA, 468 nt
Filed under: uncultured bacterium
Lineage: Bacteria
Description: partial 16S ribosomal RNA
Rfam family: Bacterial small subunit ribosomal RNA
Source: RNAcentral